This is a long non-coding RNA of Cyprinus carpio carpio, 555 nucleotides long. The record is from Ensembl. Lineage: Eukaryota; Metazoa; Chordata; Actinopteri; Cypriniformes; Cyprinidae.
GGGCACCUGGGGUGUUCCAAAUGAAAGUGGUUAUGUGAAUCCUUUCAGGAAGGGCCCUUCCAUAAGUCUAUUAGCGAAGGAUCCAUGCGAUGGUCAUUUCAAAGAUGUCAUUUUAUUGUUUAUUGUCAUGUGAUCCUGGGAGGCAUCUGUCCACUAAAUCCAGUUGGGAGGAUGGUGAUCGUAAGGGCUUUCUUGAUGAAGGUUGCAUGAAGAUCUUGAGAAAAAUGCAACAAUAUAAUUCUCACCACCUUGGAUUAGAAAGAAACAACCAGGAACUGCUGGAAAAAAAGAGGGACACUCCAAAUUCUGACUGUCACCACGCCUGCUUGAUCAAGGUGAACAUUAACAAAUGGAGAUAAACAUUUUCAACAGCCGACAGACUCCAUGUCAAUAUGUUUUCUGUAUACAACAUCUGCAGCAGGGGUUCACGCUUCUGCUGUAGCUGGUGUUGGAUGCUGAAACGGCUAUGACAACUCUGAAUGAAAUAAAUCUCCUGCUCCAGUCAAUGUCAUGCUGUGUAUUUGACAGGAGAAAAACAUGAUUUCAGCUUGUGGC